AAGUCGGCCGCAGUGCACACCGCCUCUGAGUAACUGCCUCCCUCAGACAUGAUUCAGACCUGUCUGGAGUCACCCACAUCCUCAUUCCCUAUGAAGGGAUGCACGCCAGGUGAGGUGGCCAGGCGGCUGGCAGGGGCGGCUGGCAGGGCCGCAGCAGAGGUGGAGCCUGCUGCAUCUCCAAGGGCUCACCCUGAGACGCCCCCGGCCGGGGCUGGACGGACGCCUGGGCCUCGAGCACCCAGAGUGCAUGGGGCCCAGACUCAGGUCACAGAAACCGCUGCCCGCGGAGGCGCCUGGACGUCGGCCCUCGGCAGGCAUUCCUCCGGGCCAGCUGGGCCCUUCCACAGGCCCUUCGCCCCUGUCUAAAACCCCGACAUGAAAAGAGAUCAGCUCUGAUGCACACUGCACGGCGGACCCCCAACGUCGGGGGCCGCGAGAAAGAAGCCAGUCGAGAGGAAAUGAAUGCUCAGCCUGAUUCCACGGCGGGACAGUGUGACCUCUGGUGGAUGCUCAGCCUGAUUCCACGCCGGGACAGUGUGACCUCUGGGGGGCGAGCUGCAGGGACGGCCUAGGGGGCGGGGCAGGCCACCGGUGGGGAGCCCAAAGGCCCUACAUCUCGAUCUGGACACUUGCCUCACACACACCCGUUUGCCACAAGCCACCACCGUGCACACUCACGUCCAUAUGCUUCGCGUCUGUAAGUUACGUCGCAAUAAACCGUCACAGCAGAGGAGACGCAGGUUGCAACAGGACAUUUUACGACUUACAGGAGAGGGACAGCCGGCGGGGUCUGACGGGGUCUCCGGAAUGUCCGCCUCCGCCCGAGAGCCCUGGGUUCAAUUACGCCCAUUUUACAAGGAAGAAAGGCACUGCUCGGGGAGCCCGGACCUGCCCAUCCCCCCACAGGUUAUGGUGACCCCUUUCUUCCGAUGCUGGACAAACUCCUACUUCCUGUGGCCUUCAGCCCGAGGACAUGGCCAGGUGACACGUCCAAGAAGGUGUCUGUGUGGAGGAAGGGACAAAAGAGGACCCCAAGGAAAAGCCCAAGGACGAAGCAGCAGAGAGCCCCGAAACUCGCUCUGCCCUCGCGCUGGAGCUCAGGGGCGGUGACAAAACGCAGGCUUCGGAAUCCCGCAGCCCAAGCUCAAAUUGAGCUCAGUUCCUGGCCGAGUGAUCUCCGCGGCCAGCCGGCAGGAGCCUUAGCUCAGCCUCCUUGUGCAGCGGGGUGUGCAUAGGGCUGUGAGCAUCUGUGACUCACCGAAAAUAGCUGGCUUUCGAAAAGCCACAAUGUCACUGGCAGACACCGAGAAAACAAUCAAGUGGACAAAGCAACGCUGGGCACUGGGUGCGCAUUCCCCGGAUGCUGACCGCCUCCCAGCCUCUCCCUUUGCUUGUUCUUCUUCUCGGUCCGCCCCCACUCGCCAGAGUCUAUUCUGGGGAAAAGGUCCAGAGCUCGUUCUCACUAGAGUGUAAAGGAAUGCUGCCAUGUGCUCGGUCAGGGGCGCUCAAGAUGUCCAGGGAGGGGAAAGAGGAUGCAAGGUAAAAUGGAGGCUUCAGUGA
This is a long non-coding RNA of Pteropus alecto (black flying fox), 1560 nucleotides long. RefSeq lists it as uncharacterized. The record is from RefSeq and is a predicted model, not a curated record. NCBI's taxonomy places the organism in Eukaryota, Metazoa, Chordata, Mammalia, Chiroptera, Pteropodidae. The transcript has 2 exons.